CCUUACAAGGAGGGGGUCGGCGGUUCGAUCCCGUCAUCACCCACCA
RNAcentral lists this transfer RNA (46 nucleotides) under Klebsiella pneumoniae. Its description in RNAcentral is "tRNA-Ser". The record is from RNAcentral. RNAcentral also lists the same sequence under 1 other name. Lineage: Bacteria; Pseudomonadati; Pseudomonadota; Gammaproteobacteria; Enterobacterales; Enterobacteriaceae.